RNAcentral lists this long non-coding RNA (290 nucleotides) under Elaeis guineensis (African oil palm). RNAcentral's name for it is "long non-coding RNA (EGUI_LNC051654)". Lineage: Eukaryota; Viridiplantae; Streptophyta; Magnoliopsida; Arecales; Arecaceae. The record is from RNAcentral.
CUUCUACAUGCCAUAAAAAUCUCAUCUUUAAUUGGUGUUAAAUCAUAAGAGAUCAGGUUAAGAAAUUAAGGCAACGCGUUAAGAUAAGAGUCUUCAUGAAGAAGGACUCUUCAUCUUCACACACUAAAAUGAGUGGGGUGGCAUUUAAUUUUUGGUGUGGCUUCUGAUGGGUGCAGAGGAGUCUUUCUCUACUUAAAAUUGUUUCAAGUUGGAUAGAAAACCAAUUAAGAUAGACCCAAUCUCAUUAGGUCAAAGAUAAUUGGUCUAGGCUAGCUCAAACACUUUGAUCU